Scylla paramamosain (green mud crab) is the source of this 1555-nucleotide long non-coding RNA. RefSeq lists it as uncharacterized. NCBI's taxonomy places the organism in Eukaryota, Metazoa, Arthropoda, Malacostraca, Decapoda, Portunidae. The transcript has 6 exons. The record is from RefSeq and is a predicted model, not a curated record.
GGAAAUAUAAUUUGUAGGUUUGUGGGUAAUGAGUGCACGCUGACAUAGGAGAGUGAGUGGACGUCAGACACACAGAGGGGUGGUGUUUGAAGUGCGUGCGUGUGCAGCUGCCUUAUUUAACCUGGAUUUUCUCUCAAGACGGUGACACGUGCCAGUGGAAGCUUAAUGGCUGCCGGAAGGUGGUCGUGAGGGCCAGAAACACUUACAAUAUUGACAAAUGACCCACCUGCUGCUUGGCCAGCUGGCGGACUGGUCACAGACGCCAUGGUGCAAUAGGAGACUACCCCAUCCCGUGCCUCCCGCCCUGCCCCACCCAGAUGCCAUGGCCCGGCAGCGACACCAUUCCACCUGCUACAUGACGCUGGCUGACGCACUCCUGACGUGGCAGCGACAGGAGGCGGAGGGCAGGAGCAAGAGUCGGAUGGUGAAGAAAGGCGUGAUGGCGGAGGUGGUGGCUGUGGAGGGUGUUCGUGCAGGGUACCUCGGCAGGGUCUAGUGUGCAGGUUUGCAGUAAACCUCCCUGAAGGUUCCAGAGCUGCUCAGCAAGUGCCCAGUCCAGGCUGUCACAAGACUGUGUGAUGGUGGACCUUCCACUGAUACUCACUGAAAACAGCUGUGCACUGCCACUCACAGGAAAUGACUACCCCAUCCCCUGCCUCCCUGCCCUGCUCCACCCACAUGCCAUGGCCCGGCAGCGACACCAUUCCACCUGCUACACGACGCUGGCUGACGCACUCCUGACGUGGCAGUGACAGGAGGCGGAGGGCAGGAGCAAGAGUCGGAUGGUGAAGAAAGGCGUGAUGGCGGAGGUGGUGGCUGUGGAGGGUGUUCAUGCAGGGUACCUCGGCAGGGUCUAGGUUUGCAGUAAACCUCCCCGAAGGUUCCAGAGCUGGUCUGCAGGUGCCCAGUCCAGGCUGUCACAAGACUGUGUGAUGGUGGACCUUCCAAUGAUACUCACUGAAAACAGCUGUGCACUGCCACUCACAGGAAAUGGGCCUGAUGUGAAGGUGUCUGCAGCCAGUGUUUGGUGUCCUCUGUGCCUGCCUGGUGGUGCCUCAUUGCAGGGUCUGAUGUGAAGGUGUCUGCAGCCAGUGUUUGGUGUCCUCUGUGCCUGGUGGUGCCUCAUUGCAGGGCUGAUGUGAAGGUGUCUGCAGCCAGUGGUGGGUGUCCUCUGUGCCUGGUGGUGCCUCAUUGCAGGGCUGAUGUGAAGGUGUCUGCAGCCAGUGGUGGGUGUCCUCUCUUCCUGGUGGUGCAGCCUGAUGUGCUGCCUGCUUCUGUGUAAAUCUUGCAAGCCAGAUCUGCCAGCUGUCUCCAGUGUAGUAGUCUAGGGUGCUUUGCUUUGUGUCUUUGGCAAUAAAUAAAUUUGUGAGUAUCAUUCUCAUGUGAAUUAUAUAGUUUGAUAAAAUUACAGAAUGUGCUUGAUAAAAUUACAGAAUGUGCUUGGGUAAACUAAAUUUAUAUAUUGGUGGUAAACAAUUCAUGCAUCCCCAAGUAAAUAAAUAAAAUAAAAUAAAUAGGACCCAAAACAAUAGAUACAAUAGAUCAUCCUCUGGUC